GUGGGAAGAAUACCUCUCGAAUAAAGUAAUGCUUUGCAUGGUAGCCGGCCCCAACAACUUCCACAGGAAAACCUUCACCCUUGGUGCCACCUCAAGUCACCAAAUCUAGCUAAAGUCCAUAACAGGUUCUUGAUUUUGAUUCCUGGCUUUCUGAAUAUGACAAUAAAUAUUAGCCAUCCGAACAUUGGUUCCCGUAAUGCCACAACAUCCAAGUUAGUCUUGACAGUGAUUCCUGG
Molecule: long non-coding RNA, 236 nt
Filed under: Elaeis guineensis (African oil palm)
Lineage: Eukaryota; Viridiplantae; Streptophyta; Magnoliopsida; Arecales; Arecaceae
Description: long non-coding RNA (EGUI_LNC079145)
Source: RNAcentral